AAAAAAUAUGUACAAAUCAGGAAUAUAAAUCAAGAAAGAAAUUAAUUUAAUCCUGGAGUAAAAUGAGUCACCUUAGGCAGACGUGUGAUUGGGCGGCGAUGGUUGAUCGAUGGGAGGUGGAUGGCGCCUUAACUUAUAUGGUGGAUGGUGUCUAUGAAAGCAACUUAAAAAAUUUAGGGGUUAUAAGCUUGCAGGGAUUGCAAGAUUAUAGGUUGGUCGGCGGUGGCGGCUUGAUCGGAGAUGGUAUGUGGUGACUGAUGUGGGAGGGAAAGGAGAGGGUAAAGAAGAUGGGGUAAUUGAGAGAGAUGGAGGCACAAAGGUUAUCGACAGGGAAGAAAAGUUUGGGAAUAAACUUGCACAUGAUUCAAUCCAGCCUCCAAU
This 381-nucleotide long non-coding RNA is filed under the name Olea europaea subsp. europaea. The record is from RNAcentral. Lineage: Eukaryota; Viridiplantae; Streptophyta; Magnoliopsida; Lamiales; Oleaceae.